This 601-nucleotide ribosomal RNA is filed under the name uncultured Achromobacter sp. RNAcentral's name for it is "bacterial SSU rRNA". It matches the Rfam family "Bacterial small subunit ribosomal RNA", at positions 896 to 1501 of the family's 1533-position model. The record is from RNAcentral. Lineage: Bacteria; Pseudomonadati; Pseudomonadota; Betaproteobacteria; Burkholderiales; Alcaligenaceae.
CCCCCGGGGGGGAAUUGACGGGGACCCGCACAAGCGGUGGAUGAUGUGGAUUAAUUCGAUGCAACGCGAAAAACCUUACCUACCCUUGACAUGUCUGGAAUUCCGAAGAGAUUUGGAAGUGCUCGCAAGAGAACCGGAACACAGGUGCUGCAUGGCUGUCGUCAGCUCGUGUCGUGAGAUGUUGGGUUAAGUCCCGCAACGAGCGCAACCCUUGUCAUUAGUUGCUACGAAAGGGCACUCUAAUGAGACUGCCGGUGACAAACCGGAGGAAGGUGGGGAUGACGUCAAGUCCUCAUGGCCCUUAUGGGUAGGGCUUCACACGUCAUACAAUGGUCGGGACAGAGGGUCGCCAACCCGCGAGGGGGAGCCAAUCCCAGAAACCCGAUCGUAGUCCGGAUCGCAGUCUGCAACUCGACUGCGUGAAGUCGGAAUCGCUAGUAAUCGCGGAUCAGCAUGUCGCGGUGAAUACGUUCCCGGGUCUUGUACACACCGCCCGUCACACCAUGGGAGUGGGUUUUACCAGAAGUAGUUAGCCUAACCGCAAGGGGGGCGAUUACCACGGUAGGAUUCAUGACUGGGGUGAAGUCGUAACAAGGUAACC